Long non-coding RNA from Anopheles bellator, 560 nucleotides. RefSeq lists it as uncharacterized. NCBI's taxonomy places the organism in Eukaryota, Metazoa, Arthropoda, Insecta, Diptera, Culicidae. The record is from RefSeq and is a predicted model, not a curated record. The transcript is spliced from 3 exons.
CUUUUGCCGGCGUCGGACGUUGACUUGCGACAGUGCGGACUUGCGUUGUUUCGUGUGCUGCGCGCUCUUCAUUUUCGACCGAGCAAUCCGAGUUUUUAGUGUUUUCCUUGUGACCGGGUAACCGUGCAAAACAAUAGAGCUUCAGAACGAACUCGCUGCAGUGCUCUUGCCCGCGAACAGUGCGAACGAAGCGAAAGUGUUUCGAAAAGACGGUGCCGCGCCGACGGAACAGUAGUGAACAUCCGCCGCGGCAGCAUGGUAUCCUUCGCGAUCCACCACCAUUCAGCAGUGGCCGGAACCGUGGACAGUGCAGUGGCAGCAGUCACAACGUGUCAGACAUCGACGGAACCGGAAGCGGCUGAGGAGUCGCAGCAGUAGACAGAGAGAGACAGAGAGAGCACCAGGCAAGGCAAACAAAAAAAGACGUGCCAGGCGUACUAACAACCCGGCGAGCCGAGAGAACGGAAAUCAUUCGAUCUUUCCUCGAUGGAAAGUCCCUGACUGAUGCACGACAGUGAACGGGUCACACUGUAGGCCGCCCCACGGAAAGCUCCACAGGG